Molecule: ribosomal RNA, 402 nt
Filed under: Bacillus cereus
Lineage: Bacteria; Bacillati; Bacillota; Bacilli; Caryophanales; Bacillaceae
Description: bacterial SSU rRNA
Rfam family: Bacterial small subunit ribosomal RNA
Source: RNAcentral
UACAUGCAGUCGAGCGAAUGGAUUAAGAGCUUGCUCUUAUGAAGUUAGCGGCGGACGGGUGAGUAACACGUGGGUAACCUGCCCAUAAGACUGGGAUAACUCCGGGAAACCGGGGCUAAUACCGGAUAACAUUUUGAACCGCAUGGUUCGAAAUUGAAAGGCGGCUUCGGCUGUCACUUAUGGAUGGACCCGCGUCGCAUUAGCUAGUUGGUGAGGUAACGGCUCACCAAGGCAACGAUGCGUAGCCGACCUGAGAGGGUGAUCGGCCACACUGGGACUGAGACACGGCCCAGACUCCUACGGGAGGCAGCAGUAGGGAAUCUUCCGCAAUGGACGAAAGUCUGACGGAGCAACGCCGCGUGAGUGAUGAAGGCUUUCGGGUCGUAAAACUCUGUUGCCAGG